GAAGAAAGUAUAAAAUGUUUCAUACUAUUAAUUUUUUGAUAACUUUACCUUUACACGUAAAGUAAUUAGAGAAAUUAUAUAAAAAAAUCAUGUAAUUCUUUUAAAAAGUAACAGUGAUCUAUAUGUAACAAUUACCUUGAAAAAUCAAUUUUUGUAAAAAUUGAUUUUACCGUAUAUAAUUUGUAUCCAGACCAAACCAUUUUUGUUUAAAACAUUUUUAUAGAAAUCAUUUACUUUAUUUUAAAAUGGCUGCAUGGAUGACUUUUUAGAUACCUUGUGUGUUCAUAUUGAAUUUAAUUUUAAAAGUAAAUUAAAUUCUGUUUAAUAAAUAACAUCUUAAUUUAUAAAUAUAGAAAUUUAUUAGAUUUUUGCAAUAUUUAAAGAUACAUAACAAUGUAUUUCAUACUAUACUUUAUUUGAAUCUUUCGUAUGUUUAAUAAAAUUUGUUUGCUUGAUAGGUUACCUCUUCAGCAAUUUUUAUACAUGUUUCGAGCAUUUAACAAGCAAUAUUUACAUCAAACAGAAAAAGAAAAUUUUAAAGAUAGUACUGAAAAUGAAAAUAAAUACUCGUCCGAAGAAGAAAAAUUAGAUGAAAUUCAAAGAACAUUACAAAAGGAAUGUAAUAAAGUUCCACUUAAAGAGUUACGUAUAAGAUUGUCAAGAAUAGAUAACUAUAAUAGUUUACAUAAAACAUUUAAAAAAAGUACAAAUAAGAAAAAAAGAAAUACAAGCGGAAAGUGCCCGUCCCUAAUAAGAAUAUAAUCUGAACAUACAUAAAAUUAUAUGUAAACAGAAGAUUGAAGGUGAAAAAGAGGUGAUGAAGACAUUUAUGGUAUCCCUUCAGACGAUUAUGGCGAUAUAUUUUCGGAUGAAAGUAAUGAAAAUAUAAAUAUUCCGUAUCAUCCAGUGCAACAAUUCAAUGACAUACGUACACCUGAUUGCUGUUGUAUUUGUUUAGUUGAAAAAGCAGAUCAUAUAUUUGUCUCGUGUGGCCAUUUAUGUUGUUGUUCAGAUUGUAUCUUGAAGUUGCAAUCUAAAAAAUGUCCUAUUUGCAAUACAAAUUAUACGUCAUAUUUAAAAGUAAGAAUUCCAUGAAAAAAGCAAACCAAAUGAAAUAUUCAGUAUUAAUAUUAGUAAUUUUAUAAGAGCUUUCAGACAAAGAAUUUUAAAACUUAUGUUUAGUAAGAAUUUCUUUAAUUAUAAAAAUAUUUAGAAUAAUUAAAGUUAUUAACAUUAAAUAUCUUUAA
Solenopsis invicta (red fire ant) is the source of this 1247-nucleotide RNA transcript. It is a transcript of the gene named probable E3 ubiquitin-protein ligase LOG2, with no coding region annotated. Lineage: Eukaryota; Metazoa; Arthropoda; Insecta; Hymenoptera; Formicidae. The transcript has 4 exons. The record is from RefSeq and is a predicted model, not a curated record.